CUGAUGGCGACCGGCGUACGGGUGAGUAACGCGUAUCCAACCUGCCCUUUACUAUGGGACAGCCCGUCGAAAGGCGGAUUAAUACCGUAUGUUGUCAUGUUGAUGCAUAUUUUUAUGACCAAAGGCUUCGGCCGGUAAAGGAUGGGGAUGCGUCUGAUUAGCUUGCCGGCGGGGUAACGGCCCACCGGGGCGACGAUCAGUAGGGGUUCUGAGAGGAAGGUCCCCCACAUUGGAACUGAGACACGGUCCAAACUCCUACGGAAGGCAGCAG
Molecule: ribosomal RNA, 271 nt
Filed under: uncultured bacterium
Lineage: Bacteria
Description: partial 16S ribosomal RNA
Rfam family: Bacterial small subunit ribosomal RNA
Source: RNAcentral